GGGGGGGGCAAGCGUUGUUCGGAAUUACUGGGCGUAAAGGGCUCGUAGGCGGCCAACUAAGUCAGACGUGAAAUCCCCAGGCUCAACCUGGGAACUGCGUCUGAUACUGGAUGGCUUGAAUCCGGGAGAGGGAUGCGGAAUUCCAGGUGUAGCGGUGAAAUGCGUAGAUAUCUGGAGGAACACCGGUGGCGAAGGCGGCAUCCUGGACCGGUAUUGACGCUGAGGAGCGAAAGCCAGGGGAGCAAACGGGAUUAGAUACCCCGGUAGUCCUGGCCCUAAACGAUGAAUGCUUGGUGUGACGGGUAUCGAUCCCUGUCGUGCCGAAGCUAACGCAUUAAGCAUUCCGCCUGGGGAGUACGGUCGCAAGGCUGAA
This 373-nucleotide ribosomal RNA is filed under the name uncultured bacterium. RNAcentral describes it as "bacterial SSU rRNA". It matches the Rfam family "Bacterial small subunit ribosomal RNA", at positions 527 to 898 of the family's 1533-position model. The record is from RNAcentral.